This 551-nucleotide ribosomal RNA is filed under the name uncultured Glomeromycotina. RNAcentral's name for it is "SSU rRNA". It matches the Rfam family "Eukaryotic small subunit ribosomal RNA", at positions 548 to 1098 of the family's 1831-position model. Lineage: Eukaryota; Fungi; Glomeromycota. The record is from RNAcentral.
UUGGAGGGCAAGUCUGGUGCCAGCAGCCGCGGUAAUUCCAGCUCCAAUAGCGUAUAUUAAAGUUGUUGCAGUUAAAAAGCUCGUAGUUGAACUUCGGGGUCUACCCAUUGGUCAGGCUUAAUUGUCUGCACUGGUGAGACGGAUCUCUACCUUCUGAGGAACUUUCAUGCCAUUUAUUUGGUGUGGUUGGAAAUCAGGACUGUUACUUUGAAAAAAUUAGAGUGUUUAAAGCAGACUAUCGUCUGAACACAUUAGCAUGGAAUAAUGAAAUAGGACGGACUGAUUCUAUUUCGUUGGUUUCUAGGAUCACCGUAAUGAUUAGUAGGGAUAGUUGGGGGCAUUAGUAUUCAAUUGUCAGAGGUGAAAUUCUUGGAUUUAUUGAAGACUAACUACUGCGAAAGCAUUUGCCAAGGAUGUUUUCAUUAAUCAAGAACGAAAGUUAGGGGAUCGAAGACGAUCAGAUACCGUCGUAGUCUUAACCAUAAACUAUGCCGACUAGGGAUCGGACGAAGUUAAUUUUAUAAUGACGCGUUCGGCGCCUUACGGGAAAC